GUGCUAUACAUGCAGUCGAACGAACUCUGGUAUUGAUUGGUGCUUGCAUCAUGAUUUACAUUUGAGUGAGUGGCGAACUGGUGAGUAACACGUGGGAAACCUGCCCAGAAGCGGGGGAUAACACCUGGAAACAGAUGCUAAUACCGCAUAACAACUUGGACCGCAUGGUCCGAGCUUGAAAGAUGGCUUUGGCUAUCACUUUUGGAUGGUCCCGCGGCGUAUUAGCUAGAUGGUGGGGUAACGGCUCACCAUGGCAAUGAUACGUAGCCGACCUGAGAGGGUAAUCGGCCACAUUGGGACUGAGACACGGCCCAAACUCCUACGGGAGGCAGCAGUAGGGAAUCUUCCACAAUGGACGAAAGUCUGAUGGAGCAACGCCGCGUGAGUGAAGAAGGGUUUCGGCUCGUAAAACUCUGUUGUUAAAGAAGAACAUAUCUGAGAGUAACUGUUCAGGUAUUGACGGUAUUUAACCAGAAAGCCACGGCUAACUACGUGCCAGCAGCCGCGGUAAUACGUAGGUGGCAAGCGUUGUCCGGAUUUAUUGGGCGUAAAGCGAGCGCAGGCGGUUUUUUAAGUCUGAUGUGAAAGCCUUCGGCUCAACCGAAGAAGUGCAUCGGAAACUGGGAAACUUGAGUGCAGAAGAGGACAGUGGAACUCCAUGUGUAGCGGUGAAAUGCGUAGAUAUAUGGAAGAACACCAGUGGCGAAGGCGGCUGUCUGGUCUGUAACUGACGCUGAGGCUCGAAAGUAUGGGUAGCAAACAGGAUUAGAUACCCUGGUAGUCCAUACCGUAAACGAUGAAUGCUAAGUGUUGGAGGGUUUCCGCCCUUCAGUGCUGCAGC
This 841-nucleotide ribosomal RNA is filed under the name Lactiplantibacillus plantarum. RNAcentral describes it as "bacterial SSU rRNA". It matches the Rfam family "Bacterial small subunit ribosomal RNA", at positions 44 to 852 of the family's 1533-position model. The record is from RNAcentral. Lineage: Bacteria; Bacillati; Bacillota; Bacilli; Lactobacillales; Lactobacillaceae.